RNAcentral lists this ribosomal RNA (468 nucleotides) under uncultured bacterium. Its description in RNAcentral is "partial 16S ribosomal RNA". It matches the Rfam family "Bacterial small subunit ribosomal RNA", at positions 28 to 507 of the family's 1533-position model. The record is from RNAcentral.
GACGAACGCUGGCGGCGUGCUUAACACAUGCAAGUCGAACGGAAAGGCCCUGCUUUUGUGGGGUGCUCGAGUGGCGAACGGGUGAGUAACACGUGAGUAACCUGCCCUUGACUUUGGGAUAACUUCAGGAAACUGGGGCUAAUACCGGAUAGGAGCUCCUGCUGCAUGGUGGGGGUUGGAAAGUUUCGGCGGUUGGGGAUGGACUCGCGGCUUAUCAGCUUGUUGGUGGGGUAGUGGCAUACCAAGGCUUUGACGGGUAGCCGGCCUGAGAGGGUGACCGGCCACAUUGGGACUGAGAUACGGCCCAGACUCCUACGGGAGGCAGCAGUGGGGAAUAUUGCACAAUGGGCGGAAGCCUGAUGCAGCAACGCCGCGUGCGGGAUGACGGCCUUCGGGUUGUAAACCGCUUUCGCCUGUGACGAAGCGUGAGUGACGGUAAUGGGUAAAGAAGCACCGGCUAACUACGUG